UACGUAGGGGGGCAAGCGUUUGUCCGGAAUCAUUGGGCGUAAAGCGCGUGUAGGCGGCCAGAAAAGUCCGCUGUGAAAACUCGAGGCUCAACUUCGAGCUGUCGGUGGAAACUUUCUGGCUAGAGUCCGGAAGAGGAGAAUGGAAUUCCUGGUGUAGCAGUGAAAUGCGCAGAUAUCAGGAGGAAUACCCAUAGCGAAGGCAGCUCGCUGGGACGUUACUGACGCUGAGGCGCGAAAGCGUGGGGAGCGAACAGG
This 255-nucleotide ribosomal RNA is filed under the name uncultured bacterium. Its description in RNAcentral is "partial 16S ribosomal RNA". It matches the Rfam family "Bacterial small subunit ribosomal RNA", at positions 524 to 776 of the family's 1533-position model. The record is from RNAcentral.